UACGGAGGGUGCAAGCGUUAAUCGGAAUUACUGGGCGUACAGCGUGCGUAGGCGGUUUGUUUAGUCAGAUGUGAAAGCCCCGGGCUCAACCUGGGAACUGCAUUUGAUACUGGCAGACUAGAGUAUGGUAGAGGGGGGUAGAAUUCCUGGUGUAGCGGUGAAAUGCGUAGAUAUCAGGAGGAAUACCAGUGGCGAAGGCGGGUCUCUGGGCAGUAACUGACGCUGAGGAGCGAAAGCGUGGGGAGCAAACAGG
RNAcentral lists this ribosomal RNA (253 nucleotides) under uncultured bacterium. RNAcentral's name for it is "partial 16S ribosomal RNA". It matches the Rfam family "Bacterial small subunit ribosomal RNA", at positions 524 to 776 of the family's 1533-position model. The record is from RNAcentral.